UUGCUUCUUGGGUGACGAGCGGCGGACGGGUGAGUAAUGCAUAGGAAUCUGCCCGAUAGUGGGGGAUAACCUGGGGAAACCCAGGCUAAUACCGCAUACGUCCUACGGGAGAAAGGGGGCUCCGGCUCCCGCUAUGGGAUGAGCCUAUGUCGGAUUAGCUAGUUGGUGAGGUAACGGCUCACCAAGGCGACGAUCCGUAGCUGGUCUGAGAGGAUGAUCAGCCACAUCGGGACUGAGACACGGCCCGAACUCCUACGGGAGGCAGCAGUGGGGAAUAUUGGACAAUGGGCGCAAGCCUGAUCCAGCCAUGCCGCGUGUGUGAAGAAGGCCCUCGGGUUGUAAAGCACUUUCAGCGAGGAAGAACGCCUAGCGGUUAAUACCCGCUAGGAAAGACAUCACUCGCAGAAGAAGCACCGGCUAACUCCGUGCCAGCAGCCGCGGUAAUACGGAGGGUGCAAGCGUUAAUCGGAAUUACUGGGCGUAAAGCGCGCGUAGGUGGCUUGAUAAGCCGGUUGUGAAAGCCCCGGGCUCAACCUGGGAACGGCAUCCGGAACUGUCAGGCUAGAGUGCAGGAGAGGAAGGUAGAAUUCCCGGUGUAGC
Molecule: ribosomal RNA, 600 nt
Filed under: uncultured bacterium
Lineage: Bacteria
Description: bacterial SSU rRNA
Rfam family: Bacterial small subunit ribosomal RNA
Source: RNAcentral